Molecule: long non-coding RNA, 1587 nt
Filed under: Homo sapiens (human)
Lineage: Eukaryota; Metazoa; Chordata; Mammalia; Primates; Hominidae
Description: HSALNT0322066
Source: RNAcentral
GUUCCCUUCCCUUUAUGGCUUUUAUCUCUCUGGCUAAUAGGGGAUGAUGCUUAAAGGAGGUAAUUCUUGAGCAAUAAAUCCAGACUGCAAAUAAAACAAGGGAAGAGGGAGGAAAAUCACAAUGUAAGAAGUUUCCUUUGUUUACUACGCUUAAUUGGGAUUCCACACAUGAAUGAAGAAGAGAAGACGGUCUCUCCCAGGGUGACUGGGAAAGGGAAAAAAAGUGAUGAAGGAACAGUCUGUGCCUCAGGAGCAUAUUAUUUCAAGAAGCACAAAUGAAGAGAAAGUCCAAACCCUCUGGGACAGAUGGACUAAAUAUUUUGGUAUUGGAACCACAUGGGGAAAGGCAGCAGUUGGGAAACAGAAACAGAGGCCUGAUAAGGGAACCUGGAAACAGCAUCAAUCUUCUCAGAAGUUUCCAAGGACUCCAGAUAUGCAGGGAACUGGACACCAAGCUCACGUGAGGAAGGAAUCAAAGUGAAUGAAACAUUGAUCUUGAAGUUAGUAAAAUGCAGGCUGAAACCACAGGUAUCUGAAAUGCAGUGGAAAAAAACAAUGAGAAUGUGAGGGCCCUAGGUAACAUGAAGCGAUUGGUCUCGCUGUUGGGCAUAAUGAACUCCUACCUGCACUCAGUGCCACAUGAUGCAGAGUUUAUGGUGCCUCUGAGACUGUUCGUAAAGAGAGGCGUUGUGUGGGACUGAUAACAGCUCUGCUCAAGGACAGCAAUGAUGUCUGCCACAUCCUUGGAGUUGGGAAUUACCUGGCCUCGUUACCUCCUCCCCACUCCUCCCCACCCCAGGAAUCUGGAUGCUCAAGGCUUGACUAUUUCCUCCAUUCUCCCCUCACUCAAGCCCCGUGUUCAGAAGCAAUCAGAUAAACUCAUUCAUUCUGAAAAGUUUAAUGUGUGACUCUUCCAAGGACAGUUUGUUUUAACAGAAAAUCAAGUUUCAGAACAAAUGUCCAACAGGUCCCAAAUUUAACUCACUAUACUCAAGAGUGUGAAAAUCAAAAAAGUAAAUUUUUGUUUCCCAUGAAAGAUCUAAUCUUAACUCUCUGGCCUUCCCACACUGGGUGCUAUGAAGAAAAACUCCUAAAAUUGCUAUUUAAAGCCAUCUCAGUCUUUUCUAUCUUAAGAUAGUCUUAAUUGGAGCAAUCAUCUAAUCACUUACAAUUUACCUCUUUUAGUUUUCUGUUGUUGCAAAAAAAAAACAAAAACAAAAACAAAAAAGCACACAUACUUAGUGGCUUGAAACAACAUGAAUUUAUUAUCUUAUCCUUCUAUAGUUCAGAAGUCCAAAAUGGGUCUCUUUAGGCUAAAAUCAGAUGUCAGCAGGGCUAUGUCUCUUUCUGGAGGCUCUAGGGGAUAAUCCAUUUCUGUGCACUGUCCAGAUUCCAGAGGCCCCUCAUAUUCCUUGGUUUAUGGUCCUUUCCUGCAUCUUCAAAACCAGCAACAGUGUGUAGAGUUCUCACAUCUCUCCUCUCUGAACGGACUCUUCCACAUUUAAGGACUCUUGUGAUUAUACUGAGUCUACCCGGACAAUCCAGGUUAGUCUCCUUAUUUUAAAGUCAGCUGAUUAGCAAUCUUAA